GGCGGAGCGGGGCAGCCGGAGUGCCCGCCGGUCCCAUAAACCGGAGAUCGCUGGUUCGAGUCCAGCCUCCGCUA
Molecule: transfer RNA, 74 nt
Filed under: Pseudonocardia sp.
Lineage: Bacteria; Bacillati; Actinomycetota; Actinomycetes; Pseudonocardiales; Pseudonocardiaceae
Description: tRNA-Met
Rfam family: tRNA
About the family: Transfer RNA (tRNA) molecules are approximately 80 nucleotides in length. Their secondary structure includes four short double-helical elements and three loops (D, anti-codon, and T loops).
Source: RNAcentral